This 275-nucleotide ribosomal RNA is filed under the name Escherichia coli. RNAcentral's name for it is "partial 16S ribosomal RNA". It matches the Rfam family "Bacterial small subunit ribosomal RNA", at positions 1 to 270 of the family's 1533-position model. The record is from RNAcentral. Lineage: Bacteria; Pseudomonadati; Pseudomonadota; Gammaproteobacteria; Enterobacterales; Enterobacteriaceae.
UUAAAUUGAAGAGUUUGAUCAUGGCUCAGAUUGAACGCUGGCGGCAGGCCUAACACAUGCAAGUCGAACGGUAACAGGAAGAAGCUUGCUUCUUUGCUGACGAGUGGCGGACGGGUGAGUAAUGUCUGGGAAACUGCCUGAUGGAGGGGGAUAACUACUGGAAACGGUAGCUAAUACCGCAUAACGUCGCAAGACCAAAGAGGGGGACCUUCGGGCCUCUUGCCAUCGGAUGUGCCUAGAUGGGAUUAGCUAGUAGGUGGGGUAACGGCUCACCU